GACGAACGCUGGCGGCGUGCUUAACACAUGCAAGUCGAACGGAAAGGCCCUGCUUUUGUGGGGUGCUCGAGUGGCGAACGGGUGAGUAGCACGUGAGUAACCUGCCCUUGACUUUGGGAUAACUUCAGGAAACUGGGGCUAAUACCGGAUAGGAGCUCCUGCUGCAUGGUGGGGGUUGGAAAGUUUCGGCGGUUGGGGAUGGACUCGCGGCUUAUCAGCUUGUUGGUGGGGUAGUGGCUUACCAAGGCUUUGACGGGUAGCCGUCCUGAGAGGGUGACCGGCCACAUUGGGACUGAGAUACGGCCCAGACUCCUACGGGAGGCAGCAGUGGGGAAUAUUGCACAAUGGGCGGAAGCCUGAUGCAGCAACGCCGCGUGCGGGAUGACGGCCUUCGGGUUGUAAACCGCUUUCGCCUGUGACGAAGCGUGAGUGACGGUAAUGGGUAAAGAAGCACCGGCUAACUACGUG
Molecule: ribosomal RNA, 468 nt
Filed under: uncultured bacterium
Lineage: Bacteria
Description: partial 16S ribosomal RNA
Rfam family: Bacterial small subunit ribosomal RNA
Source: RNAcentral